CCUACGGGAGGCAGCAGUGGGGAAUAUUGGACAAUGGGGGCAACCCUGAUCCAGCAACGCCGCGUGAGUGAAGAAGUAUUUCGGUUUGUAACGCUCUUUGUUCAGGGAGGAAAUAAAUGACGGUACCUGACCAACAAGCCCCGGCUAAAUACGUGCCAGCAGCCGCGGUAAUACGUAGGGGGCAAGCGUUAUCCGGAAUUACUGGGUGUAAAGGGAGCGUAGGCGGGAAAGUAAGUCAGGAGUGAAAGCCCAGGGCCCAACCCCAGGACUGCAUUGGAAACUGUUGUACUUGAGUGUGGGAGAGGUAAGUGGAAUUCCGGGUGUAGCGGUGAAAUGCGUAGAUAUUAGGAGGAACACCAGUGGCGAAGGCGGCUUGCUGGACUGUAACUGACGUUGAGGCGCGAAAGCGUGGGGAGCAAACAGGAUUAGAUACCCCAGUAGUC
Molecule: ribosomal RNA, 443 nt
Filed under: uncultured bacterium
Lineage: Bacteria
Description: partial 16S ribosomal RNA
Rfam family: Bacterial small subunit ribosomal RNA
Source: RNAcentral